AUAAAAAUAAUGCAUUGUAUGCCGGAAGGGAUAAAUCUGGGGCUGAGUACAAGCAAAACAAGACCAAAGGAAGCUACCUGAGCAGGUAUUCCAGAUACUCAUGUCAUACACCAAGGUUGUACCAGUGCCCCUUUCUCUGUGACACAUCCAUCCACUGGAAACUUUCGUACAACUAGCUGAAAGAAGAGAAACAUCCUAUUUCAUGUCACUGGAGCCCUAAUGAUCGCAGCCAUUUCAGGAAAUGCCAUCAAUUACAGUGAGGAGCUCAUUCAGAAGUGAAAGAUGAGUUCCAUUCUCUGUUACUUAGAGCUGGAGGGAGGAUGGCAUUUCAAGAGGUGGCAAGUGGUCCUUCUUCACAGUCAUAUCUCUCAUUCUGCAAGCCAAAGACUCAAUCUGCAUAAUAUUCCAUGGUGUAUAUAUACCACAUUCUUUUCCCAGUCAUCAAUCACUGGACGCUUAAGUUGAGUAAUGGCUUUUUAUUGAGGGUAUUACAAAGCUCAAAUCUGAGAAAACCUUGUCUACCAUCAACCCUGACCUACAGAGGAGAGGCACCCCCAAGCUUAUUAGUGAUCCUGUCUCCGUCUUAUUGGCACAUCCUGAUGGCCUUGAUCUCUAGUUCUUCCUGUGGAGCAUAACCAUAUGGUUCUUUGCCAAGAUGUUAAGACCAAAGUCGGAGAGUGAACCCCAUGUCAAUGAAUUCUUGUUUUUCUGAUCUUACAUUCCAUCACUUUGAUCCAGUACUCUCAAAAUGCAAUCACAGUUGUACAUGUCUUCUCCUGUCAAUAAACGCUACCUUAGUACUGCA
RNAcentral lists this long non-coding RNA (805 nucleotides) under Homo sapiens (human). RNAcentral describes it as "HSALNT0328696". The record is from RNAcentral. Lineage: Eukaryota; Metazoa; Chordata; Mammalia; Primates; Hominidae.